RNAcentral lists this ribosomal RNA (273 nucleotides) under uncultured bacterium. RNAcentral's name for it is "partial 16S ribosomal RNA". It matches the Rfam family "Bacterial small subunit ribosomal RNA", at positions 524 to 796 of the family's 1533-position model. The record is from RNAcentral.
GACGUAGGGCGCGAGCGUUGUCCGGAUUUAUUGGGCGUAAAGAGCUCGUAGGCGGCUUGUCGCGUCGUCUGUGAAAUCCCGCGGCUCAACUGCGGGUCUGCAGUCGAUACGGGCAGGCUAGAGUUCGGUAGGGGAGACUGGAAUUCCUGGUGUAGCGGUGAAAUGCGCAGAUAUCAGGAGGAACACCGGUGGCGAAGGCGGGUCUCUGGGCCGAUACUGACGCUGAGGAGCGAAAGCGUGGGGAGCGAACAGGAUUAGAAACCCCCGUAGUCC